This 561-nucleotide long non-coding RNA is filed under the name Glycine max (soybean). RNAcentral's name for it is "long non-coding RNA (GMAX_LNC003134)". Lineage: Eukaryota; Viridiplantae; Streptophyta; Magnoliopsida; Fabales; Fabaceae. The record is from RNAcentral.
ACAGUGUGACUUGUGUGUCCACUCUUUGUUUGAGCCUUGAUUUCCACUUUUGUGAGUGGGAUUUCCCUUAGCACCAUCAUAAGAAACUCCUUGUCCUUUGUUAGAAAAGUGACGUUUCUCAGCAGCAUUGGCAAAGCUAUUUUGCUCCUCCACAAUAGCUUGUCCUGGUAGUUGUUGCCUUUCAUAUUGAAUGACCAUAGAGAAGACUCUAUUGGUUGAAGGCAGUGGUUCCAUGAGAAACAGAAAAAUGCUCAGCAAGUCCUUUAAGGAAGCGAAUAAUGAAAUCCUGGUCGUGGUAGACUUUGGCUGAGCAGGUGCAUGCAUGGAAUCAUGGGACGGUAAUUGUCGAGUUCCUCCCAAAUUGACUUUAGCUUUGUGUAGUAAUCUGUUACAGUGUGUGAUCCUUGCUUGAGUCCAUAAACUUCCUCUUGAAGUUCUACAAUACGAAGCAAAUCUCCUUGGGAAAAUCGUUCCAUAUAUUAAUAGCACGAUCAAAGUAUAAAACACUUUGUGAUAUUAACUGAGACAAUGAAUUCAAAAGCCAAGACAUAGUGAGUGUAU